GUAUCUUGGUCCGAGCCAGGCUUUGGGAGAGUUCGCUCUCCGACUCGGAACCGGACCUCGAGCGAGGAAAGAUAGGCUGGCCGAAUCGUCCUCGUGCUCCUCCAUCCCGCAUAGCCCGGGACGAGAGACAUGUUUUGGGGUGGACUACCUCAAAAGUCGCUUUCGUCACACGGCCGUCACUUGACGAGAUGACGUAGCCAGCAGCAACGUGUCCAAUCAGCGACAAGAACAACCACUCACUUCCGGUACACUUCUCAAAUAAAAUCAUAUCGCUCGAUUCGGUUGAUUUUAUUUUGUUGUAAGUGCUUCGAUAGUUCGCUUUUGAUUUUGAUCAAAAUUUAAAAUAAAUAAAUCAAUAAAAGUUAUUUAGCAUUCAUGUUUGUUUUCUUUCUCUCAUUUUCAAUGUAAUAAUUUUUGGAGCACAUUUAUUUAAUUUUUAGGCCAGGUUAUCUUGCAUUUAACAGUACGGCAAGUACAUAUAACAAUACUGUAUGUAUGUAUAUAACAAUAAUGUAUUUUUUAAAAUACAUUUUAAUGCUAUCCUUAGUCCAUUUUAUCUUAAGCUUUUGACUGAAUGUUUUCGAUUUGUGUUUUUCUUAUGUGAACUGGGGGAAGUAAUGAAUAUUUUAUUAUUUCCUGAUGUUGUCCUGUACUGGUUUUCCGAGGAGUCACAGGUCAGUUAAAUAUUGUAGAAGUGCAGGUAAAGACCAUUUGUUGAGUUACUAGAUAAUCCAAUUGUUUCUGGAACACUGUGAAUCCAUGAAGGGAGAGGCUCAUAUGUCUAAAUGUUCUCCUCACGCUUUUAUUAAUGAUCUCAAUACUUC
Long non-coding RNA from Syngnathus acus (greater pipefish), 824 nucleotides. RefSeq lists it as uncharacterized. The record is from RefSeq and is a predicted model, not a curated record. The transcript is spliced from 2 exons. NCBI's taxonomy places the organism in Eukaryota, Metazoa, Chordata, Actinopteri, Syngnathiformes, Syngnathidae.